Acanthosepion pharaonis is the source of this 114-nucleotide non-coding RNA. The record is from the annotation of a GenBank genome assembly. NCBI's taxonomy places the organism in Eukaryota, Metazoa, Mollusca, Cephalopoda, Sepiida, Sepiidae.
UUACGGCUAUAUCACAUUGAAACAUUGGUUCUCGUACGAUCACCAAAGUUAAGCAACGUCGGGCCUGUUCAGUACCUAGAUGGGUGACCGCUUGGAAAUACCAGGUGCUGUAAG